Vitis vinifera (wine grape) is the source of this 878-nucleotide long non-coding RNA. RefSeq lists it as uncharacterized. Lineage: Eukaryota; Viridiplantae; Streptophyta; Magnoliopsida; Vitales; Vitaceae. The transcript is spliced from 2 exons. The record is from RefSeq and is a predicted model, not a curated record.
ACGCUGGCAUAUGAAAAUAUUACGUUGUUACCUUUGUUAAACAGUUGGGUCGAGGUGCCGUAGAAGCCACGUGGGAGGGACGGUAUCUAACAAAAGCCAGCCCCGGAUCUUAAAUUAGAAUUAAAUUCCAUUUAAUGAUGAGCCGUGGAAAGGUACUCCUGGUAUAAAUACAGUUACAGGGUUUUACAGUGAACGCUGCGAUGCGAUAAACGAAGAGGAAGAAGGAACAGUUGCAGCGGUGGUCGGGAUCCGGCGUCGUUCGUCGGAUUUCGUCCAUUUUCAACCGGAGAUCUUUCCUCGCUAGCUGAAAUCUUUGGAUUGAGAGAUGAAGGGGUCUUGCAGUCUCGUGGCCUCGGUUUUCGCUGCUUCAACCGUGGCUCUUACUUCCUCGUCCUCUUCGGGAGGCCGCGACGGUGCUUUCAAUCCUUGCUGCAAAGAGGGCUUGCCACUGUCUUUGGGGAAAAAUAACACUGAGAUUUCCCAUACAUCCUCAUCAGCUGAUAAGGAAAAAUUCGCGCCCCGAUUCGACGGCUUAAGGUUUAUAGAAACCCUGGUGACAGCACACAGAUGAAAGUUCCCUUGGGUUACGGAGCAUCUUCUAAUUAACGUGCCAGAUUGGUUGUGAGACGUGAAUGACACCUCUUUUAAUAUCCAAUUAGGCGAGCAAUGCUUCGCGUGAUUGGGACAAGAUUUUAUUGUUUCGUUUUAUAUCUUUCGUAUCUCAAACUUUACGGUCACGAUUUAGUCCAAUUGUAGAAAUUCUUGGCGUGUUAUUGUUUAUUACCUACUUGUAUGUAAAGAAUUUGCAUAUGGUAGUGAGUCCAUGGAUGUAUCCCGUGAUUCAGUAAAAUGCAUUGAUCUGACUUUAGAUUAUCUAA